RNAcentral lists this transfer RNA (63 nucleotides) under Gralliclava horrens. Its description in RNAcentral is "tRNA-Arg". The record is from RNAcentral. Lineage: Eukaryota; Metazoa; Arthropoda; Insecta; Hemiptera; Coreidae.
AAGUAAUGAAGUAAUAAUUACAUUUAGUUUCGACCUAAAAUUAGAGUUUUAGCUCCUUACUUA